RNAcentral lists this ribosomal RNA (253 nucleotides) under uncultured bacterium. RNAcentral's name for it is "partial 16S ribosomal RNA". It matches the Rfam family "Bacterial small subunit ribosomal RNA", at positions 524 to 776 of the family's 1533-position model. The record is from RNAcentral.
UACGGGGGGGGCAAGCGUUGUUCGGAAUUACUGGGCGUAAAGGGCUCGUAGGCGGCCAACUAAGUCGGACGUGAAAUCCCUCGGCUUAACCGGGGAACGGCGUCCGAUACUGGAUGGCUUGAGUUUGGGAGAGGGAUGCGGAAUUCCAGGUGUAGCGGUGAAAUGCGUAGAUAUCAAGAGGAACACCUGAGGUGAAGACGGGUUGCUGGGCCAACACUGACGCUGAGGCGCGAAAGCCAGGGGAGCAAACGGG